Long non-coding RNA from Chinchilla lanigera (long-tailed chinchilla), 594 nucleotides. RefSeq lists it as uncharacterized. The transcript has 2 exons. The record is from RefSeq and is a predicted model, not a curated record. Lineage: Eukaryota; Metazoa; Chordata; Mammalia; Rodentia; Chinchillidae.
GGUGCGGGAACAACUUUGUAAAGCACCUGAUUGACACCAUGAAUAGAAACAAGCUGUUGGACAUCAUUCCUUCCCAGAACUACCCGGUUACCUGGGGGCCUGAGCACCAGCCCUGGGGCCAGGGAGGAGAAGACAGAGACAGAGGACAAACAGCAGACUCCUACCUCCCAGGCCCAAAAUAGCAGGUUUUCUAACCUAGACCCUGGGAGGCAGAGAACUCCCUGCCUGGGCAGGCCCAGUGUUUGACUGUGAUCCUCAGAAGACCUGAAUUCUGAGAAGCUGGAAACCUCAUGUGGUCCCUUAGACCCUGAGGCUCAGGGUACAGCAAGAACCCUACGAGUCGCAACAGAGGCUUGCGAUGAACAGAUGAAAGGACCAUUUCUUGGGACAGUUCUAGGGGUUCAGGCACAACUGAAGCAGGAAAUCAAGGCAACUCUCUUUGUUGUCCAUGGGGCCAAACCACGGCAAUCUUUACUCUUGUAUCACUGAUUUUUACUUCUACCAGAGAGGUCUACUCUCUGUAUUGCCAAAAAUAUUGGUACAACUGAAACAUAAAAUUAAGAAAGAACCAAUAAAAGUAAAUUUUACAUGCCA